CAGAGGGUGCAAGCGUUGUUCGGAAUUAUUGGGCGUAAAGCGCGUGUAGGCGGCUUUGCAAGUCGGGUGUGAAAUCCCUCGGCUCAACCGAGGAAGUGCGCCCGAAACUGCAGAGCUUGAGUACCGGAGAGGAUGGUGGAAUUCCCCAAGUAGAGGUGAAAUUUGUAGAUAUGGGGAGGAACACCGGUGGCGAAGGCGACCAUCUGGACGGAUACUGACGCUGAGACGCGAAAGCGUGGGUAGCAAACAGGAUUAGAUACCCUGGUAGUCCACGCCGUAAACGAUGAGAACUAGGUGUCGUGGGUGUUGACCCCCGCGGUGCCGUAGCUAACGCAUUAAGUUCUCCGCCUGGGAAGUACGGCCGCAAGGCUA
RNAcentral lists this ribosomal RNA (372 nucleotides) under uncultured organism. Its description in RNAcentral is "bacterial SSU rRNA". It matches the Rfam family "Bacterial small subunit ribosomal RNA", at positions 526 to 896 of the family's 1533-position model. The record is from RNAcentral.